RNAcentral lists this ribosomal RNA (305 nucleotides) under uncultured bacterium. RNAcentral's name for it is "bacterial SSU rRNA". It matches the Rfam family "Bacterial small subunit ribosomal RNA", at positions 334 to 654 of the family's 1533-position model. The record is from RNAcentral.
GAGUACCUACGGGGCGCAGCAGUGGGGGAUAUUGCACAAUGGGGGAAACCCUGAUGCAGCGACGCCGCGUGAGUGAAGAAGUAUUUCGGUAUGUAAAGCUCUAUCAGCAGGGAAGAAAAAAGACGGUACCUGACUAAGAAGCCCCGACUAACUACGUGCCAGCAGCCGCGGUAAUACGUAGGGGGCAAGCGUUAUCCGGAUUUACUGGGUGUAAAGGGAGCGUAGACGGCUGAGCAAGUCAGAAGUGAAAGCCCGGGGCUCAACCCCGGGACUGCUUUUGAAACUGCGGAGCUGGAGUGCAGGAG